CGCUUUUCGUAAUCUAUAAAUGGGAAGUCGGUUCUGCUCUAUGAUGUGCGCAUUCAAUAGCGGCGGUAUAACUGACCGUCCAAAGGUAGUGUAAUUUCUAGUCCUUUAAUUGUGGGCCAAUGAAUGGAUUGACGGGCUGUAGUUGUCUCAUUUAUGUUUUUUAGAAAUUAACUUUUCGGUGAAGAGGCCUAGAUGGUGCAGGGGGACGAGAAGACCCUGUCAAACUUUAAUUAAACAGCACUUCUUUAACCGGUGUUUUUGCUGUGUGAAAUUUUAGUUGGGGCA
Molecule: ribosomal RNA, 285 nt
Filed under: Silicula rouchi
Lineage: Eukaryota; Metazoa; Mollusca; Bivalvia; Nuculanida sp.; Siliculidae
Description: partial 16S ribosomal RNA
Rfam family: Bacterial large subunit ribosomal RNA
Source: RNAcentral